This is a long non-coding RNA of Mytilus trossulus (common blue mussel), 1110 nucleotides long. RefSeq lists it as uncharacterized. NCBI's taxonomy places the organism in Eukaryota, Metazoa, Mollusca, Bivalvia, Mytilida, Mytilidae. The record is from RefSeq and is a predicted model, not a curated record. The transcript is spliced from 3 exons.
CUUAAGCUAAAAACAGCCUAAUGUGUACUGAACUAGCAUCAUCAUAUCUCCAACUACUGACAGCAUGGUGUGAUCUGAAUCAACAUUAGCACAUCUCAUUAUUAGACAUACUUGUGUGAACUGAAUCAGCCUUCUCAUCUCUCCAUGACAGAUAACCAUGUUUAAAUUUCAUCAGCAUCAUCAUCUCUCAGCCAACAGACAAUCUAGUAUCGACUUAAUAAGCCUACACAUCUCUCCACCAACAGACAGCCUGGUCUAAACUGGAACAGCCUUUUAAUCUAAAAACUAACAGCCAGCCUGGUCUGUACGGAAUCAGCAUCCUCAUCGCUCCAUUUACAGAUAGCCUGGUGUGUACUGAUACAGACCUCCAUAUCUCGUGAUCAACAGAUAUCAUGGUUUGUACUGAAACAGCUUUUCAUCUAUCAACCAACAAACAACCUGGUGUGUUAUUAAUCAGCAUCAUCAUCCCUCCACCAACAGAAAAAACAGCUGAAGCCAACAAGAAUUGACUUUUAGGAAUGAUGUUUGUGCCAUAUGAUAAGUAACAACUACUUAAGUUUAUUUUUCCUACACUUUUAGUUGUGACCUGCAGCAGAUAUUUUAGUCAAUAUUUCACCAUUGUAAAGCCCUGCAGCUGAAGAGUCUCAGAAAAUGCUAAGUAUUUUACUGCUUUACCAUAGCUUAUAAUAUAUAUGAUUAAAGGUUUACCACAGCUUAUAUAAAAUUUUGUUUAAAGGUACUAUAAUUGACGCUUAAAUGUUGGCGUAAAAUGCAAGUUUUGUUUUAAUUAGCUUUAAGGAUUAUUGUUAAAAUAGUACAUACAAAAAAUUUGAAACCCUAUUUUUAUAUGACCAUAAAUUUUGGGGGUCUUGCUGCUGUUCAACAUUAUCGGCCACAAAUAUAGUUUCCUGACUAAAACUGAAGUAUUUGCUCAAUUGUUAAUAAUUUUAACUUAACGUAAAUGAAUGUGUGUAUCGUGAGUUUCUCUCACUGACAACACUGGAUAAUAGCUAAGUGCUAUAUGCUAAUGACUAAAAAAUUAACCUUGUUAAACUUAUAUUUUGUGACUUCAAUAACUUGUAUUUACAAGGGAAGUUACAAACAUAUGUU